UACGAACGCUGGCGGCGUGCUUAACACAUGCAAGUCGAACGGAAAGGCCCUGCUUUUGUGGGGUGCUCGAGUGGCGAACGGGUGAGUAACACGUGAGUAACCUGCCCUUGACUUUGGGAUAACUUCAGGAAACUGGGGCUAAUACCGGAUAGGAGCUCCUGCUGCAUGGUGGGGGUUGGAAAGUUUCGGCGGUUGGGGAUGGACUCGCGGCUUAUCAGCUUGUUGGUGGGGUAGUGGCUUACCAAGGCUUUGACGGGUAGCCGGCCUGAGAGGGUGACCGGCCACAUUGGGACUGAGAUACGGCCCAGACUCCUACGGGAGGCAGCAGUGGGGAAUAUUGCACAAUGGGCGGAAGCCUGAUGCAGCAACGCCGCGUGCGGGAUGACGGCCUUCGGGUUGUAAACCGCUUUCGCCUGUGACGAAGCGUGAGUGGCGGUAAUGGGUAAAGAAGCACCGGCUAACUACGUG
RNAcentral lists this ribosomal RNA (468 nucleotides) under uncultured bacterium. Its description in RNAcentral is "partial 16S ribosomal RNA". It matches the Rfam family "Bacterial small subunit ribosomal RNA", at positions 29 to 507 of the family's 1533-position model. The record is from RNAcentral.